Molecule: ribosomal RNA, 253 nt
Filed under: uncultured bacterium
Lineage: Bacteria
Description: partial 16S ribosomal RNA
Rfam family: Bacterial small subunit ribosomal RNA
Source: RNAcentral
UACGAAGGGUGCAAGCGUUACUCGGAAUUACUGGGCGUAAAGCGUGCGUAGGUGGUUUGUUAAGUCUGAUGUGAAAGCCCUGGGCUCAACCUGGGAACUGCAUCUGAUACUGGUGGGCUUGAAUUCGGGAGAGGGAUGCAGAAUUCCAGGUGUAGCGGUGAAAUGCGUAGAUAUCUGGAGGAAUACCGGUGGCGAAGGCGGCAUCCUGGACCGACAUUGACGCUGAGGAGCGAAAGCUAGGGGAGCAAACGGG